This is a long non-coding RNA of Gallus gallus (chicken), 1060 nucleotides long. NCBI's taxonomy places the organism in Eukaryota, Metazoa, Chordata, Aves, Galliformes, Phasianidae. The record is from Ensembl.
AGUAGCGCUUCAAUUAUUUGACAUUUCUAUCACCGAUGAAGUUCUCCUUUUAGCUUUGGAAAAUGUUCAGUAUAACAUUUUCAAGUACUGAGCAACUCAUUUUUAUAUCUUCUGACAGCUUUAAGCCAGCUUUUUCUCCUGGGAGCUGAGGCUGUUUGUGUUAGUACACUCAUGGUGCCUGGAUCCAACCUCAUUGCUGAUAUCUAAGAAGUCCGACAUCUCCGUGAAGGUAUUUUAUUGCCAUUUUUAGCAGAAAUGUAUAUAUUCCAUCCUGAUGAGACAAGGUCCGCAUACUUUUCCUUCAGCAUUUGGAAUCUUUUAAAUGUCUUCCAUGUCUUGUUAAAUGGGAUCAAAAAGGACUCCAGAACUGCAGAUGAAGGCACAUCUUCAGUCUUCCUCCAAUGAGAUGGUCUAUGUUAUGUUUGAUCGGGUUUAUUUAAACAGUCUAACAUCUUUCUGUAACAAACCACUCAAAAUAACACCUUUGUGCCAAAAAUACAGGGAGUCAGGACUGCCAGACUGGUUGGGUCAGACUAGAAGUCACAGUAACCCAAUAGUUGUCUAAAUAGGCGUAAACAGUGGCUGGGUGGGAAGAGAGGAGCGUGAGGCAGGCUAGAGGGAUGCUUCCCCUCCGCCCUUCCAGCAGUCUGUCUCAGGUUGCAGCUAAGCCAUCAUUUUUAUAGCCACUAAUGGCCUAUUCUCCGCUAAUCUGGAUAAUCCCUUUUUGACCACUUUUAUACCUUUGCCUUCCACAAAUCUCGGCUGCAGUCAGUUGCAGGACUUGGCCCGUGCUGCAUGAAUGUCUGCGUCUUUGCUCUCCUCGAGCCAGUUGCCUGAUGGCUUCAUGGGGUGCCCGUAGCUCUGGUAGCAUCUUUCCCUACCUACCUCUGUUGCACUAUUUAGGAGUUUUUUUUUAUUCUCCAUCCUUUUCCUUUUAUCAUUUCCUCAGAGAGCUGGAAGGUUGAUAUAAUCCCAGGAGCUGAAAAAUUGAAGAAAAUCUCUAGCGAGCAGGAAAAUGAUCACCUAUCUGGGUUUUGGAAAUAUUAAAUAUUUUCAGACU